RNAcentral lists this microRNA precursor (86 nucleotides) under Tursiops truncatus (common bottlenose dolphin). RNAcentral's name for it is "miRNA (ENSTTRG00000024677.1)". Lineage: Eukaryota; Metazoa; Chordata; Mammalia; Artiodactyla; Delphinidae. The record is from RNAcentral.
AGGGCGACCAACUGUCCUGGUUUGCCUAGGACUGAGGGGUUUCCAGGAACUCGGGACUUGCAAACGAGAGUAAGUUGCUCACCCUA